Non-coding RNA from Schizosaccharomyces pombe (fission yeast), 591 nucleotides. NCBI's taxonomy places the organism in Eukaryota, Fungi, Ascomycota, Schizosaccharomycetes, Schizosaccharomycetales, Schizosaccharomycetaceae. The record is from the annotation of a GenBank genome assembly.
ACAUUAUUGACUAAACUUCCGUAUAUGAAUUGAGUGUACGUUUUCACCAUCAUCAGUCAGUUCAUUCGGUCGAUACGCAUGUGGCAUGAAUUUACCAGUUUUACGUGUUUCGUACAAUGACAAUUUGUGAUUGCCGGUUUUGAUGAAUUCAUCAUGAUACGAUGGAUUUGCUUCACUAGCAACGCCUAUAUGUUUAAAAUGAAGACACUUAGGUCUAGAAAUCUCUGUUUUUCUGUUUUCUGUUAAAUCAUUUUACCGAGAAUAAAGGGGUAUGUAUGAUGGAUGGGGUACUUUCAAUUCUUUGCUUUUCCUCGACCCACUGUAACCCAAGCAACAUGCUAAAGAAAGCGAAUCGGCCGUUUUCUCGAUUUGAGUAGUAUUAUCAUUGUUAUUAUAAUUUGAUAUUUUAAUAUUGUUUUACUAGCAAGAUCAACUUCCCUUUGUUCUUUUACAUAGCGCAAUUCCUCCUAGCUGAACACCUGACCGACCCCUUAACCCCUCCUCGUUCUCCCUUUGCCAAAAUAAAAAAAAAUAAAAAAAAUAAAGAAAAUAUCAAUAAAUAAUUUAAUAAAAAUUUUUUUUAAACAAAAA